This 137-nucleotide small nuclear RNA is filed under the name Microcebus murinus (gray mouse lemur). Its description in RNAcentral is "U4 spliceosomal RNA (ENSMICG00000041587.1)". It matches the Rfam family "U4 spliceosomal RNA". Rfam says of the family: U4 small nuclear RNA (U4 snRNA) is a component of the major U2-dependent spliceosome. The structure of U4 snRNA from yeast and human has been reported. The record is from Rfam by way of RNAcentral. Lineage: Eukaryota; Metazoa; Chordata; Mammalia; Primates; Cheirogaleidae.
AGCUUUGCCAGUGGCAGUACCGUAGCCCAAGAGGUUUAUCUGAGGCGCAAGUAUUGCUAAUAAACUUUUCCCAAUACCUGGCCAUGAUGACUUGAAAUAUAGUCGGCACUGGCAAUUUUUGACAGUCUCUAUGGAGU